Molecule: non-coding RNA, 126 nt
Organism: Danio rerio (zebrafish)
Lineage: Eukaryota; Metazoa; Chordata; Actinopteri; Cypriniformes; Danionidae
Source: Rfam
GCUUACGGCCAUACCACCCUGGAAAUGCCCGAUCUCAUCUGAACUCGCAAGUAAAGCAGGGUCGGGCCUGGUUAGUACUUGGAACUUGGAUGGGAGACCGCCUGGGAAUACCAGGUGCUGUAAGCU